Molecule: non-coding RNA, 77 nt
Organism: Musca domestica (house fly)
Lineage: Eukaryota; Metazoa; Arthropoda; Insecta; Diptera; Muscidae
Source: Rfam
AGAUUUGUGAUGAAAAAUUUGAUAGGGACAUCUGAUUAACAAUGACAGAUUUAUCAUGUUUACAAAACUUCUGAUUU